This 235-nucleotide unclassified non-coding RNA is filed under the name Hevea brasiliensis (rubber tree). The record is from RNAcentral. Lineage: Eukaryota; Viridiplantae; Streptophyta; Magnoliopsida; Malpighiales; Euphorbiaceae.
AGGCUAUUUUGGUGAUGGGGAGCCUAGUUCAAUGUGUAGCCUACCAGUUUGAUAUUUACACUCUUCGAUUUAUAAUUCUCAAUAGAAAGGAAAAAGGGAUAGAUACCUAAAUUAAAUCUAGUGCUUUAAAGAUGAUAAUCACAAAGUUUAAUGAUAUCAAAGAGAGAAUGAGAUGUUAUUUUGAUUAGCUGUUCAAUGUGAGUCAUGAGGAUGACUUUUCAAACCUUAAUGUUCA